RNAcentral lists this ribosomal RNA (508 nucleotides) under uncultured bacterium. RNAcentral's name for it is "partial 16S ribosomal RNA". It matches the Rfam family "Bacterial small subunit ribosomal RNA", at positions 28 to 507 of the family's 1533-position model. The record is from RNAcentral.
GACGAACGCUGGCGGCGUGCCUAAUACAUGCAAGUCGAACGCUUCUUUCCUCCCGAGUGCUUGCACUCAAUUGGAAAGAGGAGUGGCGGACGGGUGAGUAACACGUGGGUAACCUACCCAUCAGAGGGGGAUAACACUUGGAAACAGGUGCUAAUACCGCAUAACAGUUUAUGCCGCAUGGCAUAAGAGUGAAAGGCGCUUUCGGGUGUCGCUGAUGGAUGGACCCGCGGUGCAUUAGCUAGUUGGUGAGGUAACGGCUCACCAAGGCCACGAUGCAUAGCCGACCUGAGAGGGUGAUAGGCCACACUGGGACUGAGACACGGCCCAGAAUCCUAAGGGAGGCAGCAGUAGGGAAUCUUCGGCAAUGGACGAAAGUCUGAACGAGCAAAGCCGCGUGAGUGAAGAAGGUUUUCGGAUCGUAAAACUCUGUUGUUAGAGAAGAACAAGGACGUUAGUAACUGAACGUCCCCUGACGGUAUCUAACCAGAAAGCCACGGCUAACUACGUG